RNAcentral lists this ribosomal RNA (207 nucleotides) under uncultured bacterium. RNAcentral describes it as "partial 16S ribosomal RNA". It matches the Rfam family "Bacterial small subunit ribosomal RNA", at positions 568 to 774 of the family's 1533-position model. The record is from RNAcentral.
CUCGUAGGCGGUUUGUCGCGUCGUCCGUGAAAACUUGGGGCUCAACCCCAAGCUUGCGGGCGAUACGGGCAGACUUGAGUACUGCAGGGGAGACUGGAAUUCCUGGUGUAGCGGUGAAAUGCGCAGAUAUCAGGAGGAACACCGGUGGCGAAGGCGGGUCUCUGGGCAGUAACUGACGCUGAGGAGCGAAAGCGUGGGUAGCGAACA